UACAGGGGGUGCAAACGUUGCUCGGAAUCAUUGGGCGUAAAGCGCACGUAGGCGGUUCGUUAUGUCGGAUGUGAAAGCCCUUGGCUUAACCGAGGAAGUGCAUCCGAAACUGGCGAGCUAGAGUACGAAAGAGGAUCGCGGAAUUCCCGGUGUAGAGGUGAAAUUCGUAGAUAUCGGGAGGAACACCGGUGGCGAAGGCGGCGAUCUGGGUCGAUACUGACGCUGAGGUGCGAAAGCGUGUGGAGCAAACAGG
This 253-nucleotide ribosomal RNA is filed under the name uncultured bacterium. RNAcentral describes it as "partial 16S ribosomal RNA". It matches the Rfam family "Bacterial small subunit ribosomal RNA", at positions 524 to 776 of the family's 1533-position model. The record is from RNAcentral.